UACGUAGGGUGCAAGCGUUAAUCGGAAUUACUGGGCGUAAAGCGUGCGCAGGCGGUGAUGUAAGACAGAUGUGAAAUCCCCGGGCUCAACCUGGGACCUGCAUUUGUGACUGAAUCGCUAGAGUACGGUAGAGGGGGAUGGAAUUCCGCGUGUAGCAGUGAAAUGCGUAGAUAUGCGGAGGAACACCGAUGGCGAAGGCAAUCCCCUGGACCUGUACUGACGCUCAUGCACGAAAGCGUGGGGAGCAAACAGG
Molecule: ribosomal RNA, 253 nt
Filed under: uncultured bacterium
Lineage: Bacteria
Description: partial 16S ribosomal RNA
Rfam family: Bacterial small subunit ribosomal RNA
Source: RNAcentral